UUUUUGGGUCAUCCAUAAUGUUAUGCCACUGAGUUUGAUGCUAAUAGAGCUUUCUAUUUCCCUUAAGAUGGUAAUUAAUUUCCUAUUUGGUGCUGCAUUCAGCUAGAUUGUUUUUGUAGUGUAUUCAAUUGUGAUUUGGGUUUAUCCUGAUAAGUUUUUCGGGGCUUUAAGGAAAGGGAAUCGAGUGAAAGAUGUAUUAAGUUUAAUGUUUUCUAGUUUUAAGUAUAUGUUGUAUCUAGCUCUGAGUCCCUGGAUUUUAUGUUAUCUUAGGAAUACUACUGAUCUAAGGUCCAUUAUGUUAAUUUAAUCAAUAGCAGAGUGUAAAAUCCUACAAUAUUCUGGUAAAGUUAGUAAUGGUAUGCCUGUGAUAUAUCCUUCACUAUAUCCAUUUCUUUUAUUUGUAGCAGAACUUAUGUGUCUUUCUUGUUUUAAAAGAAAUUGUGAAAUUUAUCAAUGAUAAGUUCAGUGUAUGAGCAAAUGAAUAUGAUCUCUGUCUAUGUGUUAUCUCUUGUUGAAUAAGGAUGAGGCGCCUUUUUUAUAAAAGAAUAAGAUGAUGCAUUUCUGUGUUUUAUUGCAGAAUUUGAUUUGGUGCUCUUGUAUUUCUAUGUGUGAGCAAGUGGAUGUGAUAUCCACGGAUAAGUCACCCCUUGCCGAAAAAGAUUAUGAACCUUUUUGUGAAACAGCAAGAGGAUAUGAGCAAUCGGAAGCUUCUAGGAUGGUUUCAAAAUCUGUGAAAAUGUGCCAUUGAACAGGGACAAGGAAGUAAGUUUUGUUGAUGAUUCUCCUAAUGCUGAAAAUGUGUCGGACCUGGUGCAUGCAAGAACUGGAGAUGAUAGGGGUAUACCUCGGGAAACAAUUGCAUUCAAAUCAUUUGAGGAAGCUAUUGAAUUUUAUGAGGACUAUGCUCGUGGCAGAGGAUUUGGUGUGAGAAUUGCACAUUCUAAUUACUUUAAGGAUGGGCGAUGCAGACAUAUUAUCAUGGCUGCUUGUAAUAAGAGUGGCAAGACUUAGUACUAGACACCUUAUUUUCAUUUGUCAAGACCAGUAGUUAAAACAGAUUGCCAGGCAAGCAUUAAACUGGCCAAGUGAGCUGAUGGAUUAGUGCAUGUCAAGGAGUUUAAAGAUGAACAUAAUCACGAACUUACUCCCUUGCUAGCACAGUCCAAUCCGUCAAAGAAGAGGAGAAAGUUUUUUUGGAGAUAAUGUUGGGGAAAGUAUUCAACAUGGCAGUUCAUCCCAGGAAGUUGCCCAAGCAUGUGAGCAGGAAAAUUUACCUUCCAGAGAGAAGGUAUGGCGAGAGAAUAUUGAAGGGGUAAGGAAACUGAGACUCAAAAAAGGAGAUAUUGAUGCUAUCAGUAGGUUUGUUGUUGACAUGCAAACAAGGAAUUCCUAUUUCUUUCAUUUGAUGGAUUUGAAUAGUAAUGGCUGUUUAAAGAAUGUGUUUUGGGCUGAUGGCAGGUCUAGGACGGCGUAUCAAUAUUUUGGUGAUGUCCUGUUUGUGGAUACUACUUGUUUGACCGAUAAGUUUGGCCACCCUCCAGCUGCCAUUAUCACUCACAAUUCUGAGGCCCUAAAAGGAGCAGUCUCUUAGGUAUUUCCAAGUUCUCAUCACUGUUUGGACCUAAGGUAUGUUAUGAAACGGAUUCGAGAAAACUUGAGAGAACUUGGUGAUUACAAAGAAAUUAAGAAAGAUAUUAAAAAAGUUGUGUAUGAUUCUUUAAUAGGAGAUGAGUUUGUUGGAGGUUGGAAUAAAGUUGUAGGGAAAUAAAAACUUGAAGAUAAUGAAUGCUUUACUUAAUUGUACCAUGAUCGGCAUCUCUGCGUCCCUGGUUUUGUGAAAGAAAUAUUUUUGGCUGGAGUGUACACUACUCACCGGAGCGAGAUUUUGAAAUCUUUCCAUGAUGGCUACAUACAUCCAAGGCUUUCAUUACAACAAUGUCUUGAUAAGUAUGAGAAGGUUGUAAGAAGCAAAUGCGAAAAAGAAUUUAAUGCGGAUGCAGAUUCAGUCCACAAGGGCCCAUUAUUGUUGACACAAUAGAAUAGGCAUCCAAAAUUUAUACAGCUGGCAUCUUCUGAAAAUUCCAAGUUGAAUUAAAGGCACUGGUACUUUGUGUCUCUGCAAUCGUUGGAGCAGAUGAUCCAGUAUGUAUAUUUGAAGUUAAAGAACGCGUAAGAAGCAAAGAUGGCAAAACUAUGGAGCAAAAGAUUUAUAAAGUUUUGUACAACGUGACUGAUUUGGGCAUGCGUUGCAUCUGCUUUUCUUUUCAAUCAAGAGGAAUUCUGUGCAGGCAUGUACUACUAUCUGCCCUUAGUUUCCAAGAUGUGGUUGAAAUUCCAUCAAAACACAUCCUUGAAAGGUGGAGGUAGGACUUUAAGCGCAUGCGCGCUCCGACUUUUCACUCUGAUAAGAUGGAUGCUGAUGGCCCAACAGAACGCCGUGAAAAUUUUUAUAAGCAUUGCCUAAAACUUGCUGAGAUAAGUUUAAUAUUUGAGGAAAAUUAUGAAUUUGCAUUGAAAGUUGUCAAUGAAGCAAUGCAGAAGCUUCUCACAGAUGAUACUGUGCGCAAAGAUUCACUCUGAUAAGAUGAUACUGUGAACCACAAUGUCAUUGAUAUGAAUAUCAAUGACAGCGAAGAUGUCGGCCAUGAAGACUAUGUCACAAUCCUAUGCAAGUGAGAGGCUGUGAACUAUCCUCAGUUUGAAUUUUUCCAGCAUACGGGUCAGAGUGAACCACAUCCAGUAACCUAUCAGUCAGCCCCUCACUGGAACAUCCAACAGAUAUCACAGUUAUUAUUUCAGGAAACUCAAUUACCACGGCCAACUCAUGACUCAAGACCUUGGUAGAGCAAGCCGGCCGGUACUUUUGGCUCUGGCAUAAAUUUAGUUCAUAUAUAUAUAUAUAUAUAUAUUAGUGGAACUAUUUCAUACUCUAUGGUUUAUGUACUUGUGGGAUUAAAGUUGGAACAAUCGAAUUCAUGACACUUCCAUUGUCAAAUUUUUUAUGAGCUUUCUUAUAUGUCUCAGGCAAACUACCUUUUUUUAACAAAUCACGACUGUAUUACUGAUGAGGUCGAGGAUAGUUUCCGGUGUCAGUGUUUCUCAGAUGAUAUCUGGCAUUGUGUAUAUGAUAAAUGCUUCCAAUGAAUUGUGUGUUUUAUGAAUGUAUACACAGAUUUGUAGCUCUUG
This is a long non-coding RNA of Dioscorea cayenensis subsp. rotundata (Guinea yam), 3186 nucleotides long. RefSeq lists it as uncharacterized. Lineage: Eukaryota; Viridiplantae; Streptophyta; Magnoliopsida; Dioscoreales; Dioscoreaceae. The record is from RefSeq and is a predicted model, not a curated record. The transcript has 4 exons.